Molecule: long non-coding RNA, 1700 nt
Organism: Oncorhynchus keta (chum salmon)
Lineage: Eukaryota; Metazoa; Chordata; Actinopteri; Salmoniformes; Salmonidae
Exons: 4
Source: RefSeq, a predicted model, not a curated record
UUCAUGUUGGAAACACAAGUCGAUAGCCAGGUAUCUUAUCUAAUUUUUGUCAAGGUAAGCAAAACAUGCAUUUUAUCUAGAGUGAGUUGUACGGUCUAGUUUUGUCGUCAUACCUUCAUCGCCAAAGUUAACUAACCAGCCUACACGCAACCUUUGUAAAUAACUUCAAGGCAGCUAGCUCCACCAUCAACCACAUAUCCCUACAAGGAUAUGUAGCGCUUUAUGAAAUCCACGUAUUCGUUUAAUGGUAGCUAGGUGACUCAUCCAGCUAUGUGGGUUUAGAGCUUGAGGUAGUCACAUCAAACACGUACUUGGGAGUAUGGCAAGACGGUGCACUGUCUUUAUCUCAGCACAUAUCAAAGCUGCAGGCGGAAGUUAAAUCUAGAUUGUUUUUUUUCUAUUUUUAUUGACUUGGCCAAAGCUUUUAAUACAGUAGACCAUUCCAUUCUUGUGGGCCAGCUAAUGAGUAUUGGUUUCUCUGAGGGGUCUUUGGCCUGGUUUGCUGACUACCUCUCUCAAAGAGUGCAGUGUUUAAAGUCAGAAAAUCUGCUGUCUUAGUCACUGCCUGUCACCAAGGGAGUAUCCCAAGGCCCAAUCCUAGGCCCCGUGCUGUUCUCAAUUUACAUCAACAAUAUUCUGUAGCUCAGGCAGUAGGAAGCUCUCUCAUCCAUUUAUAUGCAGAUGACACAGUCUUAUACUCAGCUGCCCCCUCCUCUAAUUUUGUGUUAAAUGCUCUACAACAAAGCUUUCUUAGUGUCCAACAAGCUUUCUCUACCCUUAGCCUUGUUCUGAACACCUGCGUAUCAGAGAAGACAUCACUAUGUACUUGAGAAAUCUAUAUCCCAGACUCAGCCUACUACGACCCCCAAGACACGAGCCAUGAGAGAGAACCCCUACCAGAACACUAAAGAUGAGGGGUUCUCUGGAGACACCAUGGCCCAGACACAGUUUCUCUUUCCUGCCCACAACCCAACUGGGGUUUCUUUCUGAUUCAUGUCACAGACUUUCUAAACACAGAGACUCAACAUCGCAAGACUUCCGGGAACGCUUGGAAAGCAUACUCGGCAGACCAGACCAGGGUUUGAGAAAUUCUCUGUGUGGGAGGCCAAUGAUAAGGGCUCUGAGGUGCACCUCCAGGCCGACCCCACCAAGCUGGAGCUGCUGCACCAGUCCUUCAAGGUCAAGGAGGUUUUCAAGGACAAACAGAAGAAGACGAUCCUGGAUAAGGCACAGAAUUAAAUACACUGCACUCCAUCCUCACCAGCCUCUUUUUUUGUCAUUAGAGACCAAAGAUUUCAAUUCACAUUUUCAAUGUAAAUAAACUGCAUGUAGAAAGUUGUGUAGCCCGUAAAAGUGUCAUCAAUGUAAUAAACAUGAACUCAAGUUCCUCAUACAGCAGGGUUUGGAUUAAUUCCACCAAUUCAGUUCCCUCGUCCUGUAAAAUGUUAUUUAAUUCCCUUCCAAUUCCAGGUCAGUAUAUGAAUUUAAUCUCUCUCAAUUUCAGUGUUAGGUAAAAUUCCAAGAAUUCAAUUCCCAAUUCAAUAUUAUCCAUAACAAUUCCACAAAUUCAAUCCCCUCUCUGUUCACUCACUGUUUAGACAGCCUAGCCAUACUAGAAAUAUAGAAAUACAAGUUGAAAUCAUUCAAAACAAAUCCUGCAGUCCAUUUCAUUAAUUACUUUAACUGGGAAAUGUACAAAU